GAAACCCGGUGAUCUAGCCAUGGGCAGGUUGAAGGUUGGGUAACACUAACUGGAGGACCGAACCGACUAAUGUUGAAAAAUUAGCGGAUGACUUGUGGCUGGGGGUGAAAGGCCAAUCAAACCGGGAGAUAGCUGGUUCUCCCCGAAAGCUAUUUAGGUAGCGCCUCGUGAAUUCAUCUCCGGGGGUAGAGCACUGUUUCGGCAAGGGGGUCAUCCCGACUUACCAACCCGAUGCAAACUGCGAAUACCGGAGAAUGUUAUCACGGGAGACACACGGCGGGUGCUAACGUCCGUCGUGAAGAGGGAAACAACCCAGACCGCCAGCUAAGGUCCCAAAGUCAUGGUUAAGUGGGAAACGAUGUGGGAAGGCCCAGACAGCCAGGAUGUUGGCUUAGAAGCAGCCAUCAUUUAAAGAAAGCGUAAUAGCUCACUGGUCGAGUCGGCCUGCGCGGAAG
This 455-nucleotide ribosomal RNA is filed under the name Escherichia coli. RNAcentral's name for it is "partial 23S ribosomal RNA". It matches the Rfam family "Bacterial large subunit ribosomal RNA", at positions 717 to 1169 of the family's 2925-position model. The record is from RNAcentral. Lineage: Bacteria; Pseudomonadati; Pseudomonadota; Gammaproteobacteria; Enterobacterales; Enterobacteriaceae.